This 492-nucleotide ribosomal RNA is filed under the name uncultured bacterium. RNAcentral's name for it is "partial 16S ribosomal RNA". It matches the Rfam family "Bacterial small subunit ribosomal RNA", at positions 29 to 507 of the family's 1533-position model. The record is from RNAcentral.
AGUGAACGCUGGCGGUAGGCCUAACACAUGCAAGUCGAACGGCAGCACAGUAAUAGCUUGCUCUUACGGGUGGCGAGUGGCGGACGGGUGAGGAAUACAUCGGAAUCUACUUUUUCGUGGGGGCUAACGUAGGGAAACUUACGCUAAUACCGCAUACGACCUACGGGUGAAAGCAGGGGAUCUUCGGACCUUGCGCGAUUGCAUGAGCCUAUUUCGGAUUAGCUAGUUGGCGGGGUAAAGGCCCACCAAGGCGACGAUCCGUAGCUGGUCUGAGAGGAUGAUCAGCCACACAGGAGCUGAGACACGGUCCAGACUCCUACGGGAGGCAGAAGUGGGGAAUAUUGGAAAAUGGGCGCAAGCCUGAUCCAGCCAUACCGCGUGGGUGAAGAAGGCCUGCGGGUUGCAAAGCCCUUUUGUUGGGAAAGAAAAGCAGCAGGUUAAUACCCCGCUGUUCUGACGGUACCCAAAGAAUAAGCACCGGCUAACUUCGUG